This is a long non-coding RNA of Aquila chrysaetos chrysaetos, 850 nucleotides long. RefSeq lists it as uncharacterized. NCBI's taxonomy places the organism in Eukaryota, Metazoa, Chordata, Aves, Accipitriformes, Accipitridae. The record is from RefSeq and is a predicted model, not a curated record. The transcript is spliced from 2 exons.
CCGGCGAGGAGGUGCCGGAGCCGGGGGACGGGGUGCCGGAGGAGCCCAGGGCAGAGCCGGCUCCCUCCGGCGCCGGGCGACUCCCCGCCCGGGACUCCUCGUACGCCUUCCGAAACAGCAACAUCCAGAGUAGGAGCAUUCCCCCCGGCAGGCAGCACAGCUCUCCUCCGCAAGUGAGGCGAAGCAUCCAAGGUAGCUUUAGGAAGGUGAAGGAGGAGCGGGAGCCGAGGUCGCCCUAGCAGGGACGCCUUCUGCCCCCGCUACCGCGGCAACUUGUUUCCUUCGCCAAGGUUUGUAACUGAGUUAAAAGAAAUCCUCCAAAAAUAUCGGGAUCCAGGCUCUGGGAGGAGCCUCCGCGUCCCUCGCAGCCAAUAUCCUCCUGCCCAUUUGGGCCUGACAGUUUUGCAAGGAAAGGGAAGAGAAGGGAAGAGCCGGGCGGCAGAGCCCUGUGCGCUCACCGGUCAGCGGCGGAGCUGCCGGGCCGGCGGCUGCGAGCAGACUGCCAGAGCCUCACCGCAGAUCUGCGCGAUGCCUCGGCUGCCAGGAGGGUCCAUUUUAUUUUGCAGUAUUUCUUGAUUGACGUCUGUGAUUUCCCCCCUCUUCUUGAAAAGGGCGGGCGGGCGGAGGGGGGAACCUUGUUGCUUCCACCGCAGUUAUUGGUUAGUUGCCUCUAUUCAGGGCUUUAAUGAACAUGAUUCACAAGUGUUCCCAAUCCUCCCUAAAUAACUAGGAAAGAAAAGCAAGCUGUUUUUAUGACAGUCACUGGCAUCUCUUUUCUGUGUUGUAAUUUUAUGUGUAUUAAUUUAACUUGCAGUCAAGGGCAUAAUAAAUUGGUCUCUUAACAAUGAAA